Non-coding RNA from Triplophysa rosa, 381 nucleotides. Lineage: Eukaryota; Metazoa; Chordata; Actinopteri; Cypriniformes; Nemacheilidae. The record is from the annotation of a RefSeq genome assembly.
UUCACUUCUCACUCAUUCACUGGAAAUAUGACGGCACAAACUCUCAUCUGCUCUCUAACGCUUUUACUUACAGGUUGUUUUGGUGAGAUUAUUCUCACUCAGAGUCCCACCGUUCAGAUGGUGUCAGUAGGAGAGAGCGUCACUCUCAACUGUAGAUCCAGCAGUUCAGCUUUUUCAUCCAGUUUAGCCUGGUAUCAUCAAAAACCUGGACAAACACCCAAACUCCUUUUCUCUAGUGUUGGUAGCCGAGUGUCUGGAGUGUCUGAGAGAUUUACUGAUGGAAGAUCAAACACAAACUUCAUGCUGAAUAUCAGAAAUGUUCAGACUGAAGAUGCAGGAGAUUAUUACUGUCAACAGCAUUAUGAGUUUCCACUCACAUAG